Non-coding RNA from Pseudonaja textilis, 246 nucleotides. Lineage: Eukaryota; Metazoa; Chordata; Lepidosauria; Squamata; Elapidae. The record is from RefSeq and is a predicted model, not a curated record.
AGGAAAGGGGUGAGAACUUCAAACGUGUGCAAGCAGACGCUAGCGACAUAGCAGUGCCAGCAGUUCUACUCCAGAAAAAUGAUAAUGGAAAUCUGCAACCCUGUGCAUACACGUCCAAAAAACUCACAGACACUGAAAGAAGGUGGGCUGUAUGGGAAAAAGAAGCUUAUGCAGUUCGUUGGGCUUUAGAAACUUGGAGACAAUUUUUAGAGGGCAGUGACAUUCCGUUCAAAGUGUGGACAGACC